GUUGCCAGCGGUCCGGCCGGGAACUCAAAGGAGACUGCCAGUGAUAAACUGGAGGAAGGUGGGGAUGACGUCAAGUCAUCAUGGCCCUUACGACCAGGGCUACACACGUGCUACAAUGGCGCAUACAAAGAGAAGCGACCUCGCGAGAGCAAGCGGACCUCAUAAAGUGCGUCGUAGUCCGGAUUGGAGUCUGCAACUCGACUCCAUGAAGUCGGAAUCGCUAGUAAUCGUGGAUCAGAAUGCCACGGUGAAUACGUUCCCGGGCCUUGUACACACCGCCCGUCACACCAUGGGAGUGGGUUGCAAAAGAAGUAGGUAGCUUAACCUUCGGGAGGGCGCUUACCACUUUGUGAUUCAUGACUGGGGUGAAGUCGUAACAAGGUAACCGUAGGGGAACCUGC
This 401-nucleotide ribosomal RNA is filed under the name Salmonella enterica subsp. enterica serovar Infantis. RNAcentral describes it as "bacterial SSU rRNA". It matches the Rfam family "Bacterial small subunit ribosomal RNA", at positions 1114 to 1515 of the family's 1533-position model. The record is from RNAcentral. RNAcentral also lists the same sequence under 9 other names. Lineage: Bacteria; Pseudomonadati; Pseudomonadota; Gammaproteobacteria; Enterobacterales; Enterobacteriaceae.